This 253-nucleotide ribosomal RNA is filed under the name uncultured bacterium. RNAcentral describes it as "partial 16S ribosomal RNA". It matches the Rfam family "Bacterial small subunit ribosomal RNA", at positions 524 to 776 of the family's 1533-position model. The record is from RNAcentral.
UACGGGGGGGGCAAGCGUUGUUCGGAAUUACUGGGCGUAAAGGGCGCGUAGGCGGUCUGCUAAGUUGGAUGUGAAAACUCUGGGCUUAACCCAGAGCCUGCAUUCAAAACUGACAGGCUAGAGUUCUGGAGGGGGAAGCGGAAUUCCUGGUGUAGCGGUGAAAUGCGCAGAUAUCAGGAGGAACACCGGUGGCGAAGGCGGAUCUCUGGGCCUUACCUGACGCUCAGGCGCGAAAGCUAGGGGAGCGAACAGG